UGGAAAGCCAAAGGGGACCCCCGCUAAAAUACAUAUACUUAUAUAGUAAAUAUCGGGAUUGUCAUUUUUCGCGGAACUUUCACUUUCCGCGAAAAACCAAUGCCAGCAUGGCCAUAAAACACUACAUACAAAUCGAAAUCUAAAAAGCGCGGAACUUUCAUAUAUUUUCCGUCGGAGCAAUUAUUUUUCAACCCUGUAGAAAAAGCGGGCUCAAUUAAUCGCGCGGAACCUUAUUUAUCUACUCUGUACAAAUAGUAGUGUUUAAAAUCGCGCGGAGAUUGUAGAAUGCUAUUUUAAGAAGUCUAUUAAAGAGAGAAAAUCCAGUAAAUACCAGAUCCAAAAAGCGCGGAACACAAAUAUCGUCCGCGAAAAUUAAGCAUUGAAUUACUAUACAAAUCUCGGGUUGUUAGGUGUUGGAAUCCCUAGUUACCCGAAAAAUUUGAUUGGAUCCGAUACUUAGAAAUAACCAAUCAGAUACUUUGUAACAAAUGCAACACAAUCAGUGCGUUCAGUAAGUAUAACGUUUCAAGAUGGCGGAGCGAAUUGCAUGGUUAUUGUUUCUACUCGAUGGAUUCGCAGAUACUUCGGAAAUAGAUCAGAUUGGGAUCAAUAACUUUAUUGCAUACGAUCAUUUACAUGUAUUACCUGGUGUGUGUUGCCAGUAAUGGUUGAAGAUAUGCCAAACAAAUUGUGCCUUUCUAUACAGACAGAUUUCAGGUCUCAAUUUCAACUUCAAAGGUCAACAUAUCACUGAUAUCAGGAAUUCUGUGAAACUGUGGCACCAUGUAUGGUACGUGAGCGCACAAUGUCUGUUGGAAAAAGGAUAUUGGAAUAAGCAAAGGGACUCAACAUUACACAGUCAUUUCAACAUGUAGAGUCUUGUCAGCAAAGAUGGAGCAGUACAUCAGAUUUCCAGAAUCUCGUCAUGAGCUGAAGAUCAUUGCCUAUGGAUUUCAUGAAUGAUGUAAAAUGAUUUGACUGUUGAUGGAACCCACAGUGCAUGUCCUGCUUCAACAUCUGAGCAUAGGUCCUUGUUUAUCAGCAGUUUAGUUCUUCAAGCAGUCUGUGACAGUAACUUGAAAUGUUUGGACAUAUGUCCUGGAUGGCCAAGUUCUGUUCAUGAUGCCCAUUUAAAUAGAAACGGCCCGGUGGCGCAUUAAAUGGACAAUUUUUCGAAUGUUCUCGUGGAUUCAGCUUACCGCCUGACAAGAAAUCUUGCUUUUUGUUCCGUAUCGAGGCCAUGGACAUUUGUAUCAUUUGCAAAAGAUACUGCGAUAUUUGUGUCUUUGUUCAUGCUUUAUAGUUGAUUAACAUUUGGAAGCCAUAACCUGUUUAAUAGGAUGGUGUUAGUGGGACAAUGAAUUUUGUAAAGAUUUAAAGAAUGGAAAAGAUAAUUAAUAGUCAAAAGAGUUCUGCUAUUGUUAAGCAUGCUUUAUUGAUUUGUAAUGUUAUAAAGAUAGCAUUAUUAACAGAAUAAAAUGUCCAUAAUUUGAA
Dreissena polymorpha is the source of this 1494-nucleotide long non-coding RNA. RefSeq lists it as uncharacterized. The record is from RefSeq and is a predicted model, not a curated record. Lineage: Eukaryota; Metazoa; Mollusca; Bivalvia; Myida; Dreissenidae. The transcript is spliced from 4 exons.